UUAUUCACCCUGAUUCUAUUGACGUAAUGCAGGUCUGCAUCAGUAGCUGCAGCAACUGCCAUCCAAAGUGAUGCUAAUGAGGAUAAUUUGGCUUCUGCUUUAAGUGAUGAUGCUGAGAAAAAUGAUGUUGAAGAGAUCGAUGAUAGUUCGGAAAAUGAAUCCAGGAUACCACCAGGGCGGAAGAGGGCUGUUCCAAGGGGAAGAGGUAGAGGAUCUACACAGUCUUCUAAACGUGGAAGAAAAUCAGAUAAUUCUUCAAUCCAUAGAAUGCUCAUGAACGAUGACGACGAUGAUGAUGACGAGGAUAUCAUAAAAAGAUUAAAUAAGUCACAACCUCGGGUUACGAAAAGCUAUGGAGCUCUAAGAAGGUAAACAGUCCCGAUGACAAGAUAAAUAAUGUCAUACGUUGAAUCAUUAUCUACCUUGUAUAAAUAAAAUAUUGAGUGAGUCUGUCAAGUGUCAACUAACUUAUAACGUCUUACUGAGAUUUGAAGAUACAUCAUUUAGGCAAAAUGGAAUUAAAUUAAGUAGCUAUAUGUUGGCAUAGGAAGAGGAAAGCAAACCAUGUGAGUUACUUCAGAAUAGGUUCUGCAGUCUUCCAAAUAGUUUAUGUUUCUUCAAUGCAUUCUUUGCUAUUUUCUCUUACCAUUCUUUCUUUUUAGGCACCACAGUGCCAUUCAAGUUUGACACAAUUGAUUGAUGUUUUAAGUGAAAGAAAGCUGGAGCUUAUAAUUA
Non-coding RNA from Vigna umbellata (rice bean), 735 nucleotides. Lineage: Eukaryota; Viridiplantae; Streptophyta; Magnoliopsida; Fabales; Fabaceae. The record is from RefSeq and is a predicted model, not a curated record.